CCUACGGGCGGCAGCAGUGGGGAAUAUUGCACAAUGGGCGAAAGCCUGAUGCAGCGACGCCGCGUGAGGGAUGAAGGCCUUCGGGUUGUAAACCUCUUUCGCUCAUGGUCAAGCCGCAACUUUGGGUUGUGGUGAGGGUAGUGGGUAAAGAAGCACCGGCUAACUACGUGCCAGCAGCCGCGGUAAUACGUAGGGUGCGAGCGUUGUCCGGAAUUAUUGGGCGUAAAGGGCUUGUAGGCGGUUUGUCGCGUCUGCCGUGAAAUCCUCUGGCUUAACUGGGGGCGUGCGGUGGGUACGGGCAGACUUGAGUGCGGUAGGGGAGACUGGAACUCCUGGUGUAGCGGUGGAAUGCGCAGAUAUCAGGAAGAACACCGGUGGCGAAGGCGGGUCUCUGGGCCGUUACUGACGCUGAGGAGCGAAAGCGUGGGGAGCGAACAGGAUUAGAUACCCGGGUAGUC
Molecule: ribosomal RNA, 458 nt
Filed under: uncultured Actinomyces sp.
Lineage: Bacteria; Bacillati; Actinomycetota; Actinomycetes; Actinomycetales; Actinomycetaceae
Description: bacterial SSU rRNA
Rfam family: Bacterial small subunit ribosomal RNA
Source: RNAcentral